RNAcentral lists this ribosomal RNA (756 nucleotides) under marine metagenome. Its description in RNAcentral is "bacterial SSU rRNA". It matches the Rfam family "Bacterial small subunit ribosomal RNA", at positions 8 to 815 of the family's 1533-position model. The record is from RNAcentral.
AGAGUUUGAUCCUGGCUCAGAACGAACGCUGGCGGCAGGCCUAACACAUGCAAGUCGAGCGCGCCUUCGGGCGAGCGGCGGACGGGUUAGUAACGCGUGGGAACGUGCCCAGAUCUACGGAAUAGCCACUGGAAACGGUGAGUAAUACCGUAUACGCCCUUCGGGGGAAAGAUUUAUCGGAUUUGGAUCGGCCCGCGUUAGAUUAGGUAGUUGGUGGGGUAACGGCCUACCAAGCCUACGAUCUAUAGCUGGUUUUAGAGGAUGAUCAGCAACACUGGGACUGAGACACGGCCCAGACUCCUACGGGAGGCAGCAGUGGGGAAUCUUGGACAAUGGGGGCAACCCUGAUCCAGCCAUGCCGCGUGAGUGAAGAAGGCCCUAGGGUCGUAAAACUCUUUCGCCUGUGAUGAUAAUGACAGUAGCAGGUAAAGAAACCCCGGCUAACUCCGUGCCAGCAGCCGCGGUAAUACGGAGGGGGUUAGCGUUGUUCGGAAUUACUGGGCGUAAAGCGCACGUAGGCGGAUUAGAAAGUUAGAGGUGAAAUCCCGGGGCUCAACCCCGGAACUGCCUUUAAAACUACUAGUCUAGAGUUCGAGAGAGGUGAGUGGAAUUCCGAGUGUAGAGGUGAAAUUCGUAGAUAUUCGGAGGAACACCAGUGGCGAAGCGGCUCACUGGCUCGAUACUGACGCUGAGUGCGAAAGUGUGGGGAGCAAACAUGAUUAGAUACCCUGGUAGUCCACACCGUAACGAUGAUGC